This 125-nucleotide small RNA is filed under the name Marmota monax (woodchuck). Lineage: Eukaryota; Metazoa; Chordata; Mammalia; Rodentia; Sciuridae. The record is from RNAcentral.
GCUGGGCACAGCAGCCCACGCCUGUAAUCCCAGCAGCUCAGGAGGCUGAGGCAGGAGGAUCAUGAGUUCAAAGCCGGCCUCAGCAAAAGUGAGGUGCUAAGCAACUCAGUGAGACCCUGUCUCUA